RNAcentral lists this transfer RNA (48 nucleotides) under Globisporangium ultimum DAOM BR144. RNAcentral describes it as "Pythium ultimum DAOM BR144 tRNA". It matches the Rfam family "tRNA", at positions 24 to 71 of the family's 71-position model. Rfam says of the family: Transfer RNA (tRNA) molecules are approximately 80 nucleotides in length. Their secondary structure includes four short double-helical elements and three loops (D, anti-codon, and T loops). Lineage: Eukaryota; Oomycota; Peronosporomycetes; Pythiales; Pythiaceae. The record is from Rfam by way of RNAcentral.
CGCAAGACUCUUAAUCUUGUGGUCGUGGGUUCGAUCCCACGGUGGGCA